CGGCGAAGAGGAGGGCAACAGGAGCAGUAAGUUCAGAAGCCCUGGGAUGCUGGCUGGAGUGGCACUUGUCCCAGCUUCAGGACAUGCAAGGGACAGGUGGUUCCUCUGAUCACGGCAACCGAAUGAACCCUGCUUGUCCACCAGAGGAAGGUGCUGUGCCCGGUACCUAGUCACGCAUGGAGGCAUUUGGCGUCGGAGCUGCCCAGCAACUGUCCCUCCCAGUGCCUUGAGCCGUCAGGGAAACCACAGCAUCCUGACUUAGACUGAGACAGUCACACACGCAGAAGCUUUUCCCUUUGGAAAGGAAUUUUCCCUUUGGAAACAAGGAAUGAUAUUUGAUCUUCCCAAUCAACAUGCAGAAGGAAGUCCAAGUCUACGAUCGAAGGUGUCUCCUCUCUGCACAGAGACCUGGUGGAAAAGCCACCGACGUGGCCUGAAUGACUGACACCCUGGAUCCCAGUCUCCUCACCGGACUGACCAAGGGGAAGUACGUGGUAUCCAGCUGGGGCUGUCAUUUUUACAACACGAUGAGCAACACUGGGAAGUGUCCAGAGCUUGCCCUUCAAACGUCAUCUCAUCUCCUGCCUGGCAAGCGUAAGGUUGUGAGUUCGAGUCCCGGUACCAAACAAACAAACAAACAAAUCAAACAUCAUCUCAUCUCAAAUGCUUCCUGGUGCUUGGGUUCCAAGAUGAACUCUGCCUACUUCUGUUCUUCACCCUGACCUCAUUAAAGCCAUGAUCCCUCCCAUCCCCUAUGCCCAGGAUUUAGUUUUUGAGAUAGAGAUAAGGCAGGUUUUGAAGAAAAUAAAACUUCAAUAUGA
This 821-nucleotide long non-coding RNA is filed under the name Chinchilla lanigera (long-tailed chinchilla). RNAcentral describes it as "lncRNA (ENSCLAG00000028461.1)". Lineage: Eukaryota; Metazoa; Chordata; Mammalia; Rodentia; Chinchillidae. The record is from RNAcentral.